Leopardus geoffroyi (Geoffroy's cat) is the source of this 103-nucleotide small nuclear RNA. The record is from RefSeq and is a predicted model, not a curated record. Lineage: Eukaryota; Metazoa; Chordata; Mammalia; Carnivora; Felidae.
GUGCUUUGACAGCAUUUAUACUAAAGUUGGAACAAUACAGAGAAGAUCAGCAUGGCCCCUGCGCAAGGAUGACAUGCAGAUUCGUGAAGUGUUCCGUAUUUUG